CCUACGGGGCGCAGCAGUGAGGAAUAUUGGUCAAUGGACGAGAGUCUGAACCAGCCAAGUAGCGUGAAGGAUGACUGCCCUAUGGGUUGUAAACUUCUUUUAUAUGGGAAUAAAGUUUUCCACGUGUGGUAUUUUGUAUGUACCAUAUGAAUAAGGAUCGGCUAACUCCGUGCCAGCAGCCGCGGUAAUACGGAGGAUCCGAGCGUUAUCCGGAUUUAUUGGGUUUAAAGGGAGCGUAGGUGGAUUGUUAAGUCAGUUGUGAAAGUUUGCGGCUCAACCGGAGAAUUGCAUCAGAAACUGUUGAA
Molecule: ribosomal RNA, 305 nt
Filed under: uncultured bacterium
Lineage: Bacteria
Description: bacterial SSU rRNA
Rfam family: Bacterial small subunit ribosomal RNA
Source: RNAcentral